CAGCAGCCGCGGGAAUACGAAGGGGGCUAGCGUUGUUCGGAAUUACUGGGCGUAAAGCGCACGUAGGCGGAUCGAUCAGUCAGGGGUGAAAUCCCAGGGCUCAACCCUGGAACUGCCUUUGAUACUGUCGAUCUGGAGUAUGGAAGAGGUGAGUGGAAUUCCGAGUGUAGAGGUGAAAUUCGUAGAUAUUCGGAGGAACACCAGUGGCGAAGGCGGCUCACUGGUCCAUUACUGACGCUGAGGUGCGAAAGCGUGGGGAGCAAACAGGAUUAGAUACCCCGGUAGUCCCUGUCUCUUAUAC
Molecule: ribosomal RNA, 301 nt
Filed under: uncultured bacterium
Lineage: Bacteria
Description: partial 16S ribosomal RNA
Rfam family: Bacterial small subunit ribosomal RNA
Source: RNAcentral